GGACUACAGGGGUAUCUAAUCCUGUUCGCUCCCCACGCUUUCGCUCCUCAGCGUCAGUAUCGGCCCAGAAUGCCGCCUUCGCUACGGGUGUUCCACCUGAUAUCUGCGCAUUUCACCGCUCCACCAGGUAUUCCACAUUCCCCUACCGAACUCUAGUCAUGGCAGUAUCGAAUGACCCCUCCAAGUUGAGCCUGGAGAUUUCACAUCCGACUUACCAAACCGCCUACGAGCUCUUUACGCCCAAUAAAUCCGGACAACGCUCGCCCCCUACGUAUUACCGCGGCUGCUGGCAC
RNAcentral lists this ribosomal RNA (293 nucleotides) under uncultured bacterium. RNAcentral's name for it is "partial 16S ribosomal RNA". The record is from RNAcentral.